CCAAACUUGGUCAUUUAGAGGAAGUAAAAGUCGUAACAAGGUUUCCGUAGGUGAACCUGCGGAAGGAUCAUUAUUGAAUAAAUCUGACAUGGUUGUAGCUGGCUCUCCGGAGCAUGUGCACGCCUGUCACCUUUAUCUUUCCACCUGUGCACACACUGUAGUCCUGGAUACCUCUCGCCGCAAGGCGGAUGCGGAGUCUGCUGUGCCUUCGAAAGAGGGUCAGCUUUCUCUGAAUUUCCAGGUCUAUGACUUUACACACCCCAAACGAAUGUUAUAGAAUGUAAUCAUCAGGCCUUGUGCCUAUAAACCUAUACAACUUUCAGCAACGGAUCUCUUGGCUCUCGCAUCGAUGAAGAACGCAGC
Molecule: unclassified non-coding RNA, 363 nt
Filed under: uncultured fungus
Lineage: Eukaryota; Fungi
Description: partial contains small subunit ribosomal RNA, internal transcribed spacer 1, and 5.8S ribosomal RNA
Rfam family: Eukaryotic small subunit ribosomal RNA (bases 1-73)
Source: RNAcentral